GCCUACUACCCACACUGACUUGACAUCAUCUUCAUGUGCAGGCAACAGAGGUGACACUCUUCAGGCAUCUGAGAAAAUGACAAAUCACAACACCACUCUGGAUCACACAUGUUCUUUAGGUGAUGCUUUGGACCCUCCUGAGGAUGCUAAUGUUGCAAUUCCAGCUGACUACACUUGCUAUACAAAGAAUACUAACUCCAAGUUUCUUCCACUUUGGGCAACAACCAUUUCAAUGUUACUGCUAAAAUCUUCAAUAUGGUUUCUGAAAUUCUUGGCAUUGGUGAUGGCAUGGGUAUUUAAUCUAAUUUAGCAGUGCCAUGCAGUUAAAAUUACCAUGAGCUUAAGAAGGUGACUUAUGUGGAUAUCAUCAUUUUAUAAUCAAACACUCCCCCAAUAAACAACAUCUGAUAAUAAAACCACUGAACUAAGCCUCCACGUUGUCAGCACUUCUCAAAGACAAAGAUAUUCAUUGUGACAUGACACUGCAUAAGAAUCUACUGAUGAUGCCUCUGUUACUGCUCAUCCUGACGGUGCCAACAAUGAUGUUUUUGAUACUACUUAUAAUUCUUGCUUAUU
Long non-coding RNA from Microtus ochrogaster (prairie vole), 576 nucleotides. RefSeq lists it as uncharacterized. Lineage: Eukaryota; Metazoa; Chordata; Mammalia; Rodentia; Cricetidae. The transcript has 3 exons. The record is from RefSeq and is a predicted model, not a curated record.